UUUCAAUUUAAUGACGCAGUGAUGUGUUCUCUGUCAAACAUGCAAUUGAAUUUUUUUCUUCAUUUUUGCGUGCAUGAUACUGUCAUUAGAUUCAAUUUUGUUUUUUGUUUUCUAGUUGAUGAUAACAACAAGCAUAUUUUUAAAACCAACAAAAUGAAUGUGGCAACCAUGUUCUAUGUCGGAGUUAUUGUAACAACGAUAUUGAUGUCAGUUGAUGCAGAUCUUAUAAAACACGACCUCUCAUCUCAACCCAAAUGCAAAGAAGUUACCCGCCGCGCAGUGUUUAGAAAAGAGUGUGGUUGGGAAACCGGUCUCUACAGAAAUCUAGACCAUUAUUACCUUAAUGGCAGGAUCAUUGCCUACAAGAUACAAUGGUUCAAUGGCUCCUGGUCGGGUUGGUACGUUCCGGGCGUCAAUGACAUCGACGGAAAAGUCAACGUGUAUAGACACCGCUGUCGUCAUUUUCCAUGGAAAUUGAAUUCCGUAAGGAAGAUCUGGUCUUAUUUCUACGACCACACACACAAGUACAUCCUUUGUGUGGACAGACAUUGAGAGAAGGCUGAGGAAACGAGGGGAAGACCCUCGAAAUGUAACCUUGUCGUUGUUUAUCUAUACGUGGCAAGAUACAGAAUAAAAAUAUAGUCGUU
Molecule: long non-coding RNA, 647 nt
Organism: Ostrea edulis (European flat oyster)
Lineage: Eukaryota; Metazoa; Mollusca; Bivalvia; Ostreida; Ostreidae
Exons: 2
Source: RefSeq, a predicted model, not a curated record